GAUUAGGAAAGCCACUGGGGAGUCUUCUUAUUGUUAAUGCUAAAAUCUAGCUUCACUACACACGUAGAAUGGUAAAAUGAACGUUUACUAAACAAAACUGCUGCGUGUAUUUGUGAGGCAUCAACUUAAACGAAAUGAGAAAAAAUAAGAAUAAAAGAAGAAGGUUAUUGAAGUUUUAAAAUUAUGUUCCUAUAUGUAAAUUAGCAAAACUUAAAACUUAUGAUUUUUCUGACUUUCUGCCUGCGUUUUCACCUGCUGAAGAACUACAGAAGGCUUAAUGUGAUGGGAUCUUACUGUUGCACAGGCUGACCAAUCCUCCUGCCUCAGCUCCUGAGUAGCUAGGAUUACAGACAUGUGCCACAGUGCUUUGAUAAAGUGAAUUUUGAACAGAGACUGAAUAAAGUACAAAAGCC
Long non-coding RNA from Sciurus carolinensis (gray squirrel), 413 nucleotides. RefSeq lists it as uncharacterized. The record is from RefSeq and is a predicted model, not a curated record. The transcript is spliced from 3 exons. NCBI's taxonomy places the organism in Eukaryota, Metazoa, Chordata, Mammalia, Rodentia, Sciuridae.